CACUUGUUAAGGUGGGCUGCAAAUUUGUGUUAUUUUCUCUCAAUCAGAUUCUGUGAAGAAAUUAGAGAUGGCUUAUGCUGCUGUAUUAUCUCUCAGUCAGAUUCUGAAGCAGAUAUCAAAUCCUCAUCUAGAACAACAUCAGACGCCUCUUCAGGACCAAUAAAUUAAAUCUCUCCAGGAGAAGUUUAGUUUCUUACUUGAUUUUCUGGAUGAUUCUUGGCAAAGAAAGAACGAGAAAGUACAAUGUUUGGAAAGGGAA
This 259-nucleotide long non-coding RNA is filed under the name Olea europaea (common olive). RNAcentral's name for it is "long non-coding RNA (OEUR_LNC007734)". The record is from RNAcentral. Lineage: Eukaryota; Viridiplantae; Streptophyta; Magnoliopsida; Lamiales; Oleaceae.